This 254-nucleotide ribosomal RNA is filed under the name uncultured bacterium. RNAcentral describes it as "partial 16S ribosomal RNA". It matches the Rfam family "Bacterial small subunit ribosomal RNA", at positions 524 to 776 of the family's 1533-position model. The record is from RNAcentral.
UACAGAGGGUGCGAGCGUUGUCCGGAAUCACUGGGCGUAAAGGGCGCGUAGGUGGUGGCUUAAGCGUGCGGUGAAAGCUCGGAGCUCAACUCCGAGUCGGCCGUGCGAACUGGGCUCACUGGAGCAUAGUAGAGGCAGGUGGAAUUCCGGGUGUAGCGGUGGAAUGCGUAGAGAUCCGGAAGAACACCGGUGGCGAAGGCGGGUCUCUGGGCAGUAACUGACGCUGAGGAGCGAAAGCGUGGGGAGCGAACAGG